Molecule: ribosomal RNA, 253 nt
Filed under: uncultured bacterium
Lineage: Bacteria
Description: partial 16S ribosomal RNA
Rfam family: Bacterial small subunit ribosomal RNA
Source: RNAcentral
UACGAAGGGUGCAAACGUUGCUCGGAAUUAUUGGGCGUAAAGCGCACGUAGGCGGCUUUGUAAGUCCCAUGUGAAAUCCCACGGCUCAACCGUGGAAGUGCAUGGGAAACUGCAGAGCUUGAGUACUUAAGAGGAUCGCGGAAUUCCCGGUGUAGAGGUGAAAUUCGUAGAUAUCGGGAGGAACACCAGUGGCGAAGGCGGCGAUCUGGGAAGAUACUGACGCUGAGGUGCGAAAGCGUGGGGAGCAAACAGG